Molecule: ribosomal RNA, 176 nt
Filed under: Cyprinella camura (bluntface shiner)
Lineage: Eukaryota; Metazoa; Chordata; Actinopteri; Cypriniformes; Leuciscidae
Description: partial small subunit ribosomal RNA
Source: RNAcentral
CACCGCGGUUAAACGAGAGGCCCUAGUUGAUAGAACAACGGCGUAAAGGGUGGUUAAGGACAGUAAACUAAUAAAGUCGAAUGGCCCUUUGGCUGUCAUACGCUUCUAGGAGUCUGAAGUCCAGAAUACGAAAGUAACUUUAAAAUAGCCCACCUGACCCCACGAAAACUGAGAAA